UGGGGAAUAUUGCACAAUGGGCGCAAGCCUGAUGCAGCGACGCCGCGUGAGGGAUGACGGCCUUCGGGUUGUAAACCUCUUUCAGUAUCGACGAAGCGCAAGUGACGGUAGGUACAGAAGAAGCACCGGCCAACUACGUGCCAGCAGCCGCGGUAAUACGUAGGGUGCGAGCGUUGUCCGGAAUUACUGGGCGUAAAGAGCUCGUAGGUGGUUUGUCGCGUUGUUCGUGAAAACUCACAGCUCAACUGUGGGCGUGCGGGCGAUACGGGCAGACUGGAGUACUGCAGGGGAGACUGGAAUUCCUGGUGUAGCGGUGGAAUGCGCAGAUAUCAGGAGGAACACCGGUGGCGAAGGCGGGUCUCUGGGCAGUAACUGACGCUGAGGAGCGAAAGCGUGGGGAGCGAACAGGAUUAGAUACCCCCGUAGUCC
RNAcentral lists this ribosomal RNA (429 nucleotides) under uncultured bacterium. RNAcentral describes it as "bacterial SSU rRNA". It matches the Rfam family "Bacterial small subunit ribosomal RNA", at positions 355 to 796 of the family's 1533-position model. The record is from RNAcentral.